UUGCCUACCCUCCGCAGUUUAUAUAUGCUGCGUGUCAUACAGAUUCCGAUGUCAUAUAUUACAGCAAUGCAGCUGUACAUAUAGUUUAAAUUCACUAUAAACGAUUUAUUUAUUAUUUUAAUUGUACUUUAUUUGAUAAAACAGAACAAAGAAACUCGAAAAUAUGUUUUACUAUACUAUAAUUAGAUUUAUACAGGUAUUACAGGUAU
Molecule: non-coding RNA, 209 nt
Organism: Cinara cedri
Lineage: Eukaryota; Metazoa; Arthropoda; Insecta; Hemiptera; Aphididae
Source: the annotation of a GenBank genome assembly